RNAcentral lists this ribosomal RNA (253 nucleotides) under uncultured bacterium. RNAcentral's name for it is "partial 16S ribosomal RNA". It matches the Rfam family "Bacterial small subunit ribosomal RNA", at positions 524 to 776 of the family's 1533-position model. The record is from RNAcentral.
UACGGGGGGGGCAAGCGUUGUUCGGAAUUACUGGGCGUAAAGGGCUCGUAGGCGGCCAACUAAGUCCGACGUGAAAUUCCCAGGCUUAACCUGGGAACUGCGUCGGAUACUGGAUGGCUUGAAUCCGGGAGAGGGAUGCGGAAUUCCAGGUGUAGCGGUGAAAUGCGUAGAUAUCUGGAGGAACACCGGUGGCGAAGGCGGCAUCCUGGACCGGCAUUGACGCUGAGGAGCGAAAGCCAGGGGAGCAAACGGG